RNAcentral lists this ribosomal RNA (718 nucleotides) under uncultured bacterium. RNAcentral's name for it is "bacterial SSU rRNA". It matches the Rfam family "Bacterial small subunit ribosomal RNA", at positions 53 to 812 of the family's 1533-position model. The record is from RNAcentral.
GCAGGCAAGUCGAACGCAGUAGCAAUACUGACCCGGCAAACGGGUGAGUAUAAUGUGGGAAUCUGCCUUUUGGUUUGGAAUAACACGGGGAAACUUGUGCUAAUACCAAAUAAGCCCUUACGGGGAAAGUUUUAACGCCGAAAGAUGAGCCUGCACUUGAUUAGCUAGUUGGUAAGGUAAAGGCUUACCAAGGCAACGAUCAAUAGCUGUUCUUAGAGGAAGACCAGCCACAUUGGGACUGAGACACGGCCCAGACUCCUACGGGAGGCAGCAGUGGGGAAUCUUGCACAAUGGGGGAAACCCUGAUGCAGCGAUGCCGCGUGAGUGAAGAAGGCCUUUGGGUUGUAAAACUCUUUCGUCGGGGAAGAAAAUGACUGUACCCGAAUAAGAAGGUCCGGCUAACUUCGUGCCAGCAGCCGCGGUAAUACGAGGGGACCUAGCGUAGUUCGGAAUUACUGGGCUUAAAGAGCUCGUAGGUGGUUAAAAAAGUUGAUGGUGAAAUCCCAAGGCUCAACCUUGGAACUGCCAUCAAAACUUUUUAGCUAGAGUGUGAUAGAGGUAAGUGGAAUUUUCUAGUGUAGAGGUGAAAUUCGUAGAUAUUAGAAAGAACACCAAAUGCGAAAGGCAACUUACUGGGUCACUACUGACACUGAGGAGCGAAAGCAUGGGUAGCGAAGAGGAUUAGAUUACCCUCGUAGUCCCAUGCCGUAAACGAUGU